Molecule: long non-coding RNA, 199 nt
Filed under: Nicotiana benthamiana
Lineage: Eukaryota; Viridiplantae; Streptophyta; Magnoliopsida; Solanales; Solanaceae
Description: long non-coding RNA (NBEN_LNC000931)
Source: RNAcentral
CACUGGCAUCCUUUCACUUACUGUAAUUUUUUCCUCUUUUACCUAUCUUUUUAUGAAAAAGGAAAAGAAACUCAAAUUAUUAAUUUGGCAUAUAACAUCCAUAAAUAAUGGCACUAAUAUCUUUAGACGCAUAGAAAACUUAGGACCCAUUUGUCCAUAGAUCUUUUUUUUUUGUUUCUAUUUUCCGAAUUUAAAAAAA